This 302-nucleotide long non-coding RNA is filed under the name Lynx canadensis (Canada lynx). RNAcentral describes it as "lncRNA (ENSLCNG00005018036.1)". Lineage: Eukaryota; Metazoa; Chordata; Mammalia; Carnivora; Felidae. The record is from RNAcentral.
CAUAGUUCCUUCAAGCCCUCUGUGCAGUGAGCAUCUGUUGAGAGUCCUAUGAAGAAAUUGACGAUCCAAGAUGGACAAGCAAACCAAAUUAAAUACUUUGAAAACACAAGUAAAAGUUUGAGGGCAUCAAAGGGCGUGAUGACCAUAAAGGGCCCUGGAACUUGAACUUGCGCACACACCCAUUCGCUCAAUCGGCAGACGCCGUCCCACAAUCGGACUUCCUGCACUUCAGGAGCAAACACAGUUGAGCUAUUUUGUUUACAAAAAAUUCCAUGGAACGCUCUGCUAGAGCCCUGUGCUUC